This 449-nucleotide ribosomal RNA is filed under the name uncultured bacterium. RNAcentral describes it as "partial 16S ribosomal RNA". It matches the Rfam family "Bacterial small subunit ribosomal RNA", at positions 29 to 523 of the family's 1533-position model. The record is from RNAcentral.
AACGAACGCUGGCGGCAGGCCUAAAACAUGCAAGUCGAACGCCCUAGCAAUAGGGAGUGGCGCACGGGUGAGUAACGCGUGGGAACGUGCCCUUCAGUACGGAACAACGUCGGGAAACUGACGCUAAUAACGUCUAAUAUCUCCGGAUCAUGGAUUUAUCGCUGAAGGAUCGGCCCGCGUCUGAUUAGCUAGUUGGUGAGGUAAUGGUUCACCAAGGCUACGAUCAGUAGCUGGUCUGAGAGGAUGAUCAGCCACACUGGGACUGAGACACGGCCCAGACUCCUACGGGAGGCAGCAGUUAGGAAAAUUGGACAAUGGGCGAAAGCCUGAUCCAGCCAUGCCGCGUGUGUGAUGAAGGCCUUAGGGUUGUAAAGCACUUUCGUUGGGGAUGAUAAUGACCGUACCCAAAGAAGAAGCCACGGCUAAAUUCGUGCCAGCAGCCGCAGUAA